UGGGGAAUUUUGGACAAUGGGCGAAAGCCUGAUCCAGCAAUGCCGCGUGUGUGAAGAAGGCCUUCGGGUUGUAAAGCACUUUUGUCCGGAAAGAAAUCCUUGGCUCUAAUACAGUCGGGGGAUGACGGUACCGGAAGAAUAAGCACCGGCUAACUACGUGCCAGCAGCCGCGGUAAUACGUAGGGUGCAAGCGUUAAUCGGAAUUACUGGGCGUAAAGCGUGCGCAGGCGGUUUGCUAAGACCGAUGUGAAAUCCCCGGGCUCAACCUGGGAACUGCAUUGGUGACUGGCAGGCUAGAGUAUGGCAGAGGGGGGUAGAAUUCCACGUGUAGCAGUGAAAUGCGUAGAGAUGUGGAGGAAUACCGAUGGCGAAGGCAGCCCCCUGGGCCAAUACUGACGCUCAUGCACGAAAGCGUGGGGAGCAAACAGGAUUCAGAUACCCUGGUAGUCCACGCCCUAAAACGAUGUCAACUAGUUGUUGGGGAUUCAUUUCCUUAGUAACGUAGCUAACGCGUGAAGUUGACCGCCUGGGGAGUACGGUCGCAAGAUUAAAACUCAAAUGAAUUGACGGGGUCAUAGCUGUUUCCU
RNAcentral lists this ribosomal RNA (587 nucleotides) under uncultured bacterium. RNAcentral's name for it is "partial 16S ribosomal RNA". It matches the Rfam family "Bacterial small subunit ribosomal RNA", at positions 355 to 1375 of the family's 1533-position model. The record is from RNAcentral.